RNAcentral lists this ribosomal RNA (449 nucleotides) under uncultured bacterium. RNAcentral's name for it is "partial 16S ribosomal RNA". It matches the Rfam family "Bacterial small subunit ribosomal RNA", at positions 29 to 523 of the family's 1533-position model. The record is from RNAcentral.
AACGAACGCUGGCGGCAUGCCUAACACAUGCAAGUCGAACGAGAUCUUCGGGUCUAGUGGCGCACGGGUGCGUAACGCGUGGGAAUCUGCCCUUUGGUUCGGAAUAACAGUUGGAAACGACUGCUAAUACCGGAUGAUGACGAAAGUCCAAAGAUUUAUCGCCAGAGGAUGAGCCCGGGUAGGAUUAGCUAGUUGGUGUGGUAAAGGCGCACCAAGGCGACGAUCCUUAGCUGGUCUGGGAGGAUGAUCAGCCACACUGGGACUGAGACACGGCCCAGACUCCUACGGGAGGCAGCAGUGGGGAAUAUUGGACAAUGGGCGAAAGCCUGAUCCAGCAAUGCCGCGUGAGUGAUGAAGGCCUUAGGGUUGUAAAGCUCUUUUACCCGGGAUGAUAAUGACAGUACCGGGAGAAUAAUCUCCGGCUAACUCCGUGCCAGCGGCCGCCGUAA